Molecule: ribosomal RNA, 424 nt
Filed under: uncultured bacterium
Lineage: Bacteria
Description: bacterial SSU rRNA
Rfam family: Bacterial small subunit ribosomal RNA
Source: RNAcentral
UGGGGAAUAUUGGUCAAUGGGCGAAAGCCUGAACCAGCAAUGCCGCGUGAGUGAUGAAGGCCUUCGGGUUGUAAAGCUCUGUCAGUGGGAACGAAUAAGCCGAUUAAUACUCGGUGAUGACGGUACCCACAAAGGAAGCACCGGCUAACUCUGUGCCAGCAGCCGCGGUAAUACAGAGGGUGCAAGCGUUGUUCGGAAUUACUGGGCGUAAAGCGCGUGUAGGCGGUCUGAUAAGUCGGUCGUGAAAGCCCUUGGCUUAACCAAGGAACUGCGAUCGAAACUGCCGGACUAGAGUAUCGGAGGGGGUGGCGGAAUUCCCGGUGUAGAGGUGAAAUUCGUAGAUAUCGGGAGGAACACCUGUGGCGAAGGCGGCCACCUGGAAGAUUACUGACGCUGAGACGCGAAAGCGUGGGGAGCAAACAGG